Molecule: RNA transcript, 3556 nt
Organism: Xenopus tropicalis (tropical clawed frog)
Lineage: Eukaryota; Metazoa; Chordata; Amphibia; Anura; Pipidae
Gene: celf3
Gene name: CUGBP, Elav-like family member 3
Exons: 15
Source: RefSeq, marked validated
UGAAUCAGACCUCAAGAUCCACUAAAGGCAGAAGCUGCUGAAGCCGGAGGAGGGGGCAGAACUUGGGAUCAAUAGCCCCAGAAAUAAAAAGAGACAGAGAAGAAUUUAAGUCCCCAUCUCCAGCCUGGCUGAUCGAUACCCUAAUUAACCACUUUGCGAGCAGUCUCUUUCCUAGAGGGACCUAGCGCCGGGCACCUCUCUCUCUCAUGACUGCCUGGCACUAAGCUGAUGCCGGCUGGAGACUGACCGGGGGCUACCGGAAGACCCCAAGAGCCACACAGGGCCGGCCAAGCUUGGGCGACAUCUCUAGGGACUGAGCACCAAGGAAGACCUACUGUUGGGUGGUGGGAGUCUGUGCCUUCUCUGCUCCCCUUCCCCUGUGCCCACUUCGCCCCAAUGAAGGAACCAGAUGCUAUCAAACUUUUCAUUGGACAGAUUCCCAGGAACCUCGAUGAGAAGGACCUCAAGCCAAUCUUUGAGCAGUUUGGGAAAAUUUAUGAACUUACAGUCAUUAAAGACAAAUUUACGGGGAUGCACAAAGGAUGUGCGUUCCUAACAUAUUGUGCCCGAGAGUCUGCACUAAAGGCACAGAGUGCCCUACAUGAACAGAAGACCCUGCCUGGGAUGAACAGACCCAUUCAGGUGAAACCGGCCGACAGCGAGAGCCGAGGAGAGGACCGCAAGCUGUUUGUGGGGAUGCUGGGGAAGCAGCAGACGGAUGAAGACGUUCGGAGGAUGUUUGAACCCUUUGGGAACAUAGAUGAGUGCACGGUCCUGCGGGGGCCCGACGGCACAAGCAAAGGUUGUGCAUUUGUGAAGUUCCAGACGCAUACAGAAGCUCAGGCUGCCAUCAACGCGUUGCACGGGAGCCGGACUUUACCGGGGGCCUCCUCAAGCCUAGUAGUGAAGUUUGCAGACACGGAGAAGGAGCGGGGACUGCGGCGGAUGCAACAAGUGGCCAAUCAGCUGGGGAUGUUCAGCCCCAUUGCCCUCCAGUUCGGCGCGUACAGCGCGUACACACAGGCAGUAAGUGACCAGCUCAUGCAGCAGCAGGCCGCCCUGGUGGCCGCACACAGCGCUUACCUCAAUCCCAUGGCCACAAUGGCCGCUGUCCAGAUGCAGCAAAUGGCGACAAUCAACCCCAACGGGAUCAUAGCCACACCCAUCACCCCAAUCAACCCAAUCACUUCUUCUUCAGGUACCAGUACUCCACCAACACUCGCUGCCACUCCAGUAUCUGCCAUCCCUGCAACGCUGGGAGUCAAUGGGUACAGUGCCGUUCCCACACAGAGCACGGUACAGCCCAGCUCGGAGGCAAUCUACACCAAUGGGCUGCACCCGUAUCCAGCCCAAAGUCCGGUGGCCCAGCUGGAUCCUCUGCAACAAGCCUACGCCGGCAUGCAGCAUUACACAGCCGCCUACCCUGCCGCUUAUGGACUGGUCAGCCCGGCGUUUACUCAAGCCCCUGCCAUCCUGCCCCAACAGCCCCCACAGCAGCAGCAACAGAGAGAGGGUCCCGAGGGCUGCAACAUCUUUAUCUACCACCUGCCGCAGGAAUUCACAGACUCCGAGAUCCUCCAGAUGUUCCUGCCAUUUGGGAACGUUAUUUCUGCCAAAGUGUUUGUAGACCGCGCCACCAAUCAAAGCAAAUGUUUCGGCUUUGUAAGUUUUGACAAUCCGGGAAGCGCUCAGGCUGCUAUCCAAGCAAUGAACGGAUUCCAGAUCGGGAUGAAAAGGCUUAAGGUGCAACUCAAGCGACCAAAAGAUGCCAACCGGCCGUACUGAGGUGUUCAGGAGGCAGUGAGGUUCCGCAGCGGCCGGGGUCCAAUCACUCAUGAGAUGACUCUGUCGCUAUGACGUAACCCUAACGUCCAUUGGCUGCUCUGGGACAAGUAGCACCGCCCCUUGGUGUGUGUAUAUGUUUUGGGGUGCAAGGGGAUCCUGGUUCCAGCCCCUUCUACCUUCUUCUAUCUCUCUCAUGACACCUCAGAACGGAUUCCAAACUUUUUACUGCUGCUGGACCAAGGAGAACAUUUUCUUCAGGGGAAAUCUAAAAACUGCUAAACCUGGUGAUUGCCCAACUAUUAACCAGCAAGAACCUUCAGACAUAUCCAUUCUCUUGGAGAUGUAGGAGAACAUUCCUGGCUCUCUGUACAUGUCUUAAUAAAUGGCCACGAGAGAUCAGAGGAACCAAAUCCUCGCGGAAGAGUGGGAUUUUUUUUUUUAAAGUGGCCGGAAAGCUGAAGACGAUGGUUCAGGCCAAGGUGUGAUUGUUCAGGCACAGGUUACAUUUUUUGGGGACCAGGUAACAUUGUGUUUAGCGUACGGUAUAUUUCUCUUCACAGGUGUUGGGCAGACCAGAGGUCGAGAUAUUUUUUCCAUAUUCCACAGGCGAGAGAUUAAGCUUCAUUUUCACAGGGACGGGAUGUAUAUUUCUCCAGAAUGGGGGGGGGGGGGGGGGGAGAGCCUAGUGCACACAGAGAGCCCCUAGCUAUUUAUUCAGAAACGUCCAGGCAGCAAUGGCUGCUGUGUAAAUAGAGAUAGGAUGGAGGGUACGGGAUUUAGUGUGCAAUAUCUUCUUAUCCCAACGUUCUCGUUAUAAGAAAUAAAGUACAAGACUCCUGGCCUUGAUGGUCAUCCAGAAGCCUAGCUUUACCCACCUCCCACUCCCACCUAGAUACAGGUCAGUGCACCCGGUGGGGGGACGUAUAUGUGAACCAUUCAAACCAACCCCCCCCCGGGUGCUUCUGGUGAGCAUAAACCUUGGUAGAGAGAACACAACCAAUCCAUAAGGGAUACAACUGCAGAGCAUUGAACUGCACAACUUCUGAAGAGCAUUGCGUCUCCUGUAGGGCAAAGCCGCCAAUCGGCACGUCCCGCAGAACAUUACUCCUGCCAAUGCUCUGCAGGGUUGCUUUCUCUGCCAUAGACCCUGGAAGCCAUCAUAACACGGGGGUUCAGUUACAGCAGAAUGCUGAUUUCAGAUGCACUUGAGAUAUUUAAUACCGGGAUGUCAUUGCACUACAUGAAAAAUGCAUCCGGCUUACAAGGGGGUUCAAACCCUAAUUGGGGGACGGCUACCGAUUGACCGUAGAGGGGGCGCUGCCCUUUCUUCUCAGCUCCCCAUAGGGUUUCUUUUUUUUUUUUUAGGUAGGGGGUCAGAGGUCAUAGCCGAAGAGUCGUCGCCAACCGCGCAGAAAGAUUUAACAUGUUUACAGUCUCUGAAAUCUCCCGGAAUUGUACAUAAUAAUUUUUGUUUGCGACAAGAAGGAAAAAAAAAAAAAGAAAAAAAAAAAGAAAAACGAAAAAAAAGAAAAAAUUCUCUGCCAUUUUAUCGUAAAAAAAAUCUAGGACUUUUAAUGUUGUUUUUCUUCCUUUGGUUAAGGGGAGCAGGUACGCAGGGAAAGGGUAUUUUAAUAUAAUAUAGACAUGUGGGGGCUGGGCUUAUAAAUGACCGAUUCCCUAUGAUUAUAUAAUGCUUAACUUAUUUCUUAUUUAUUGCUGUUUAUUUGGAAUUCAUUUUUUUCUGUCUAAAUGAAAUAAAUUUGAUGAAGAA